CGCUCAACUGCUGUGCCACCCAGGCGCCCCUAACCUGCCAAACUUCUGAAAUAGCUGAACCAGUUUUAUUCCCACCACCAGUGUAUGAAGAUUUCCUUUUGUUUUUCCUACCAUGAUAACACUUAUCCUGUAGAUGAAUAAAGAUGAAUAAAACCAGUGUGAGUGUUCUGCUAUCAACUUUAGCCAGCGCACUAAUACAUUUGGAAACCGAAGAAAUGACCACUAUGUGGGUCUAUGAAUGCAGAAGAUUCACUUUGAGCUGUACUUAUCCCAGGACUGCAUUUAUUUCUGGCCACCAUCUACCUUCAUUUUAACAAUGGCAAAACUGUUUGGUGCUUUGGAUCCUUGGAUAUCGAUCCCAAUCCAGCUCCUGUAUCCAAUAAUCUUCAGAAGAUAUUCUUUCAGCACAAUCGAAUGCUUACUAAAUGACAGGCAUUGUAUUAGACCCUGGGGAUAUGAAGACGAUAAAAUUCGUGGUUCUUUACCAUCUAAGGAACUAAUAGCUGAUGCUUGAAUGGAAGGAAACAUGUCCACUGUAACUAGUUCUACUUCUGUGAGAAACGUAACAUUGGAUUUAAUGGACUAUAUAAUUUGGAUAUUAAAAGAGAAGUGUUUGUUCACUGGUGAAUUCUACCAAACAUUUAAAGAAGAAAUUCUCAUUCAUAUAUACCCA
This is a long non-coding RNA of Ailuropoda melanoleuca (giant panda), 673 nucleotides long. RefSeq lists it as uncharacterized. The transcript is spliced from 4 exons. The record is from RefSeq and is a predicted model, not a curated record. Lineage: Eukaryota; Metazoa; Chordata; Mammalia; Carnivora; Ursidae.